GCACUGCUGAGGAGUCCCAUACUAGAGCGGAACGGCCGUCCAGUGC
Non-coding RNA from Schistosoma haematobium, 46 nucleotides. Lineage: Eukaryota; Metazoa; Platyhelminthes; Trematoda; Strigeidida; Schistosomatidae. The record is from Rfam.